AUUGUGACGCCUGCCAGCCGCAGGCUGGGUCCCCGAGGCGGGCGGCAUUUAGGCUCGGUCUCCACAGCCAUGGCCGCGACGCAGGAGCUGCUGCUGCAGUUGCAGAAGGAUAACCGAGAUGGUCGCCAGCGGAAGCAGGAGCUAGAGAAGCUGAUGCGCGGGCUCGAGGCCGAGAGCGAGAGCCUCAACCAGCGCCUGCAGGACCUGAGCGAGCGGGAGCGGAGCCUGCUGCGGAGGCGAAGCCAGGCAGCGCAGCCUCUGCAAGGGGAGGCGCGCGAGGCGGCGCGGGAGCGCGCGGAGCGGGUGCGCAGAAGACUGGAGGAGGCGGAGCGCCACAAGGAGUACUUGGUGAGGAAGAGUCCUGGAAUGGGGCUGGACCCAGGGUGGGGUGGGGCAGGGCGGGCGGAAGGGGGCAGGAUCCGGGGGUGGGGUGAGGUAGGACCGGCGGAGAGGUCGGCACCGCCCCAGGACCCCGUCCGCAGGAGCAGCACAGCAGGCAGCUGCAGGAGCAGUGGGAGGAGCUGUCGAGUCAGAAGCCCGGUAAACCCCGCCCUUACAAGCCCCGCCCCUAGCUCUUCUACUACGGAGGGGAACUGCAGAGCCAGAAGAGCACGGAGCAGCAACUCGCAGCCCAAUUGGUGACGCUGCAGAAUGAACUGGAGCUGGCGGAGACCAAAUGCGCCUUGCAGGAGGAGAAGCUGCAGCAGGACGCGCUGCAGACAGCGGAGGCCUGGGCCAUAUUCCAGGAGCAGACCGUAGUCCUGCAGGUGCGGCCCCACUCAGACGCCAAGGUGCCUCCCGCCUCUCCUCCCCCAGACCUGGGGCGGUGUGACGGGCAGCUUCGCGGAGUGCAGUACAGCACCGAAUCGCUCAUGGAGGAGAUGGCCAGGGCGGACCGAGAGACGCGGCUGUUCGGCGGCCCUCGCGCGCUGGCCAUCAGGCGGUGCGUGCUGGGCGCGCUGCAGGUGCUGCUGACGCUGCCGCUCCUCUUCCUGGGGCUGUCGCUGCUCUGGACGGUGCUGUUGGACCCCGGCGCCGUCUCCGCGUGGCUCUGGAGCCUCACCUCGGAGACGACGCUGCGCCGCCUGCGCUACACGCUGUCCCCGCUGCUGGAGCUGCGCGCUAACGGGCUUCUGCCAACCUAAGUGCAGCGCCCCGCGCCUGGCUCCAGGUGGACUCCAGGGCACCUGGCUUUAUUUCUGGUGCACUCCUCUCCUGAGAGUGUAGACCAAGGUUGCCUAAUAAACUCAAGGGAUGAAGCUCGUGGGUUCGUCGUCUGUCUCCCAUGUCAUGUAGGAGCUUGACUGGCUUUUCAGCCUCCAAAGAUUCCUUCCUUCCUUACAGCUCAUGGAUUUAGAGCCACUCCCCAGUAUUGUAAACAGCAUUUUUAGUUUUUCAGGAUACAUAAUUUGCCGUAUUGCCAGAAACUUGUACAUAGCAUUUGACACUUUGCCAAUCUGACAAGCUGCCUUUUCAAGUAUUGUGAUUUGAAAUUAUUUCUACUAUAUUUGAAUUUAUUUCUACCAUUUGUAACAUGUUGAUCCUGAUUUUUCAAUGCUCCCCUUUCCUUCUGUUUAUUUGGGAAGUCACACUCUGUAUUCUGGUAUUCUUACUACUUGAGCUCAGCUCAUCGCUGUCAUCUUCCCCUAAACCGCCUUAAAGCAUCUUAGGUCUUUUCCCUCUGAUCACAUGUGCUACUUUUUUUUUUCUUUUCUUUGGAGACGGAGUCUUGCUCUGCGCCCAGGAUGGAGUGCAGUGGCAUGAUCUCGGCUCACUGCAAGCUCUGCCUCCCGGGUUCCAGCGAUUCUCCUGCCUCAGCCUCCCAAGUAGCUGGGACUUCAGACGCCCGCCAUCAUGCCCGUUUAAUUUUUUGUAUUUUUUGUAGAGACAGAGUUUCACUGUGUUAGCCAGGAUGGUCUCGAUCUCCUGACCUCGUGAUCCGCCCACCUUGGCCUCCCCAAAGUGCUGGGAUUACAGGCAUGAGCCACCGUGCCUGGCCAACAUUUUCUCCAGAUAUCUUACUGAGUCCUAAUUUCCACUGUGGCCAGAGAAUACACUCUGCAUGAUUUUAAUUCUAUCUCAUUUACUGAGACUUGUUUUGUGGCCCAGCACAAAGCUUGUAAUGAACACUGAGAAGUGUAUUGUUGCUGUUGACAGAGUGAUUUUUUUUUUUGAGACGGAGUCUCGCUCUGUCGCCAGGCUGGAGUACAGUGGUGUGCAAUCUCGGCUCACUCCAACCUCCACCUACUAGGUUCAAGUGAUUGUCCUGCCUCAGCCUCCUGAGUAGCUGGGACUACAGAUGCAUUCCACCAUGCCCAGCUAAUUUUUGUAUUUUUAGCAGAGACAGGGUUUCACCGUGUUGGCCAGGAUGGUCUUGAUCUCUUGACAUUGUGAUCCGCCUGGCUUGGCCUCCCAAAGCGCUGGGAUUACAGGCAUGAGCCACCGUGCCAGGCCAACAGAGUGUGUUCUAAAUACCCAGCAGGUCCAGGUGAGUGACAGGCUUGUUCAGGGCUCCUGUGUUUACUUUCUUGUUGGUAGCGCCGUCAAUUGCUUAUUGUGAAAUGCCCCUUCAUAAACACCCAUACACAUUUUG
RNAcentral lists this long non-coding RNA (2593 nucleotides) under Homo sapiens (human). RNAcentral's name for it is "long non-coding RNA NONHSAT083676.2". Lineage: Eukaryota; Metazoa; Chordata; Mammalia; Primates; Hominidae. The record is from RNAcentral.